This 94-nucleotide transfer RNA is filed under the name Dehalococcoidia bacterium. RNAcentral describes it as "tRNA-OTHER". The stretch from base 32 to 91 matches the Rfam family "tRNA". Rfam says of the family: Transfer RNA (tRNA) molecules are approximately 80 nucleotides in length. Their secondary structure includes four short double-helical elements and three loops (D, anti-codon, and T loops). Lineage: Bacteria; Bacillati; Chloroflexota; Dehalococcoidia. The record is from RNAcentral.
GCCACGACGUGCCGUUUGGGCGAACGCCCCGGCGAACGAGUCCUGCUGUUUCGUAAACAGCAGGUCACAGGUUCAAUUCCUGUCGUUGGCUCCA